GAUGAACGCUGGCGGCGUGCCUAAUACAUGCAAGUCGAGCGAACAGAUAAGGAGCUUGCUCCUUUGACGUUAGCGGCGGACGGGUGAGUAACACGUAGGUAACCUACCUAUAAGACUGGGAUAACUUCGGGAAACCGGAGCUAAUACCGGAUAACAUUUGGAACCGCAUGGUUCUAAAGUGAAAGAUGGUUUUGCUAUCACUUAUAGAUGGACCCGCGCCGUAUUAGCUAGUUGGUAAGGUAACGGCUUACCAAGGCGACGAUACGUAGCCGACCUGAGAGGGUGAUCGGCCACACUGGAACUGAGACACGGUCCAGACUCCUACGGGAGGCAGCAGUAGGGAAUCUUCCGCAAUGGGCGAAAGCCUGACGGAGCAACGCCGCGUGAGUGAUGAAGGGUUUCGGCUCGUAAAACUCUGUUAUUAGGGAAGAACAAAUGUGUAAGUAACUGUGCACGUCUUGACGGUACCUAAUCAGAAAGCCACGGCUAACUACGUG
This 497-nucleotide ribosomal RNA is filed under the name uncultured bacterium. RNAcentral describes it as "partial 16S ribosomal RNA". It matches the Rfam family "Bacterial small subunit ribosomal RNA", at positions 28 to 507 of the family's 1533-position model. The record is from RNAcentral.